UACCUGAAAUCAACUGAAUUCAAGAGUA
RNAcentral lists this ribosomal RNA (28 nucleotides) under Stephanopyxis turris. Lineage: Eukaryota; Bacillariophyta; Melosirophyceae; Stephanopyxales; Stephanopyxidaceae. The record is from RNAcentral.